AUUGAACGCUGGCGGCAUGCCUUACACAUGCAAGUCGAACGGUAACAGGUCUUCGGACGCUGACGAGUGGCGAACGGGUGAGUAAUACAUCGGAACGUGCCCAGUCGUGGGGGAUAACUACUCGAAAGAGUAGCUAAUACCGCAUACGAUCUGAGGGUGAAAGCGGGGGACCUUCGGGCCUCGCGCGAUUGGAGCGGCCGAUGGCAGAUUAGGUAGUUGGUGGGAUAAAAGCUUACCAAGCCGACGAUCUGUAGCUGGUCUGAGAGGACGACCAGCCACACUGGGACUGAGACACGGCCCAGACUCCUACGGGAGGCAGCAGUGGGGAAUUUUGGACAAUGGGCGAAAGCCUGAUCCAGCAAUGCCGCGUGCGGGAUGAAGGCCUUCGGGUUGUAAACUGCUUUUGUACGGAACGAAAAAGCUCCUUCUAAUACAGGGGGCCCAUGACGGUACCGUAAGAAUAAGCACCGGCUAACUACGUGCCAGCCGCCGCCGUAA
This 498-nucleotide ribosomal RNA is filed under the name uncultured bacterium. RNAcentral's name for it is "partial 16S ribosomal RNA". It matches the Rfam family "Bacterial small subunit ribosomal RNA", at positions 30 to 523 of the family's 1533-position model. The record is from RNAcentral.